AGGUGGUUAUAACGUUGGGGAUCCACCUCUUCCCAUUCCGAACAGAGAAGUUAAGCCCAACGGUGCCGAUGGUACUGCGUCACAGUGGGAGAGUAGGACGCCGCCGUUUU
Molecule: ribosomal RNA, 110 nt
Filed under: Porphyromonas gingivalis TDC60
Lineage: Bacteria; Pseudomonadati; Bacteroidota; Bacteroidia; Bacteroidales; Porphyromonadaceae
Also listed under: 6 other names
Source: RNAcentral